This 334-nucleotide unclassified non-coding RNA is filed under the name soil metagenome. RNAcentral's name for it is "partial contains 5.8S ribosomal RNA, internal transcribed spacer 2, and large subunit ribosomal RNA". The stretch from base 1 to 120 matches the Rfam family "5.8S ribosomal RNA", at positions 35 to 154 of the family's 154-position model. The record is from RNAcentral.
GAUGAAGAACGUAGCGAAAUGCGAUAAGUAGUGUGAAUUGCAGAAUUCAGUGAAUCAUCGAAUCUUUGAACGCACAUUGCGCCCCUUGGUAUUCCAUGGCGCAUGCCUGUUCGAGCGUCAUUUGUACCUUCAAGCUUUGCUUGGUGUUGGGUGUUUGUCCAUUCUCUUGCAGAGGGACUCGCCUUAAAGUAAUUGGCAGCCAGUGUUUUGGUUUUGAAGCGCAGCACAAGUCGCGAUUCAAAGCUAUACGCCCGCUUCCACAAGCCUUUUUCACUUUUGACCUCGGAUCAGGUAGGGAUACCCGCUGAACUUAAGCAUAUCAAUAAGCGGAGGA